AACAAUACAGCCAAAAUGUUUUAUUUGGGCAAUACAAAUACAAUCAAAUCAAAAAUAUCACAGAUUUUCAUACAUUAGUAAGAAGUUACUGUACACUUGAACAGUUGCCAUUUUUUACAGCUAAACAAAAGCUUUACCUUUAUUAAAAUGUAUUUUCCUCUCACAUAAAAUAUACACUUUGCACUGACGUAUUUUACAUGGGACACCUCUCUGGGGAAGAACAGCUCACGAACAACACGACAGGGCCACCUUCUCUACCCCACACAAGAGCACAUCGAAGCGAGACACACGGCUGCUCCCAGGGCCGGCAGGGCCCUCCGAACAACUGCUGGGCUCGGGCAGUUGGGGGUUGGUUGAGUUUUGGGGUCACUGGAUUUCAGGGUUGGUGGAUUUUUAGGCCUGGCGGAUUUUAGGGUUGGUGCAUUUUUGGGGUUGGUGGAUUUUUGGAGUCGGUGGAUUUUAGGGUUGGUUGAUUUUUGGAGUCGGUGGAUUUUAGGGUUGGUUGAUUUUUGGUGUUGGUGGAUUUUUUGAGUUGGUGGAUUUCAGGCUUGGUGGAUUUUUGGGAUUGGUGGAUUUUGGGGCUGGUUGAUUUUUGAGCCUGGCAGAUUUUAGGGUUGGUGCAUUUUUGGGGCUGGAUUUUUGGGGUCAGUGGAUUUUUGAGGCUGGUCAAUUUUUGGGGUCAGCACGUUUUUGGGGUCGGUGGAUUUCAGGCUUGGUGGAUUUUUGGAGUUGGUGGAUUUUUAGGGUUAGUGCAUUUUGGGGUUGGUGGAUUUUUGGGGCUGGUGGAUUUUUGGGGUUGGUGCAUUUUUGGGGCUGGUGGAUUUUUAGGUCAGAAGAAGGGACUUUGGGCAGGGUUGAGCGUGGCUUUGGCGGCUCUUCCUGGGGUUCAGCUGCCAGGAACGCCCUCCCAGGAUGUUCCUUGUCGCCCUGUUCUUUUAAAAUUUUAAAGUUCUUUUAAAAGUUUUAAAGUUCUUUUGAAAGUUUUCAUGCCUUCUGAUAAUGUUUAUAUAUUUCUGCUGGAGUUCUCAGGCACUGUUGAUGUAAAUAAUGAUUGUUUUGCAUUCUUCUCUGUGGGAGGAGAGAAUUGAUGGGCUGCUGGUUUGACCAGUGUGGUUGGAGAGGUGGCAAUCCCAUCCCCCAGUCCACUGCCACUUUUGGAACUCUGCAUAUUGCGAGGUCAGAAAUAAAAGUUACUUCAUUUUGCUCUUGGUGUGAGUGCGUGAGUUAUUUUGUGUAGCAGUGCAGCAGUUCCUGGUGCCAGGGCAGGGGUUUGGGGGUCCCUCCAAAGCCGCCCUGGCCCCAGUGGGAUUCUGCACCCACAGAACCAGGGGAGCUCCUGGCAGCAGGGCAGGUGGAGCCCAGGACAAAGCCCAGGAGGGGUGAAAGGCUGUGGGAACAACUCUGGGUGAGCAGGAGGCUCCGUGGGAGCCCCAAAGGAACCGCUGGAUGUUUUUGGGACUGGAUUUGGAGAAGAGAUGCAGCAAGAAAUGCACUCGUCCCUACGGGCUGGAGUGAAACCUGGGGUGAACUUGGGGCUCUGCCAGACUCAGCUGAAAUGGAUUAAAGAAAGGGGGAAAAGGAAAUGUCACCGUGGUUUAAUCCUGGAGAGGAGAAGUUCUGCUCUUAGCCAAAGGAAAAACUUCUGGGAAAGGAUUUUCCUCCCUGCCCCUUGUACAGCAGUGAGGGGAGGGGAAGUCAGCGAGUGGCUUUGGAAAAAUCUCAGUGUAUUUUAAAGAGGAUUUUGAUGGAAUUGCAGGGAGGGAGAUCUGUGGGACAUGGACACAGAUGGUCUGUGUGCAGCCUGCAGUGAUCUGCCUCGGCUUCAGACCCCCCAAAAGGCACCAGCCACUUCUGAGGGCUUGGAGGGCUCAGGCAGCGCCUGGAUCUGGGAGUGGCAGCCCCAGCCUGGGGUCUCAAGGCUCCUCUCACACCCAGCUCCUCCUUCUGCUCCCGUCCUUUCCACAGAAACCCCCUGGCUGCCCCAGGCAUCCCUGCCUGCCAGGACCUGGGAACAGGGGCUUGCUCCUCUUCCAAAAACUCCUGCCAUCCUCAGGAAUAAGGCAUCUGUUGAGUUUAGUUACUGUAAACCACUUGUGAAAAACAAAAAUCCGCACCGUGUCCUGGCACCCCCAGGGGAUUUACUUAGACAUGAAUAAAAAAGAGUAAAAUAUAUAUUUAUAUAUAUAUAUAUAAUUAUCCUUUGCUAAUCGUAGCACAAUGUACAAUCUGAACCUGAUUUGGGAAUAAAAUACA
This 2253-nucleotide long non-coding RNA is filed under the name Taeniopygia guttata (zebra finch). Its description in RNAcentral is "lncRNA (ENSTGUG00000020761.1)". The record is from RNAcentral. Lineage: Eukaryota; Metazoa; Chordata; Aves; Passeriformes; Estrildidae.